This 48-nucleotide transfer RNA is filed under the name Shigella sonnei. RNAcentral's name for it is "tRNA-Ser". It matches the Rfam family "tRNA", at positions 28 to 71 of the family's 71-position model. Rfam says of the family: Transfer RNA (tRNA) molecules are approximately 80 nucleotides in length. Lineage: Bacteria; Pseudomonadati; Pseudomonadota; Gammaproteobacteria; Enterobacterales; Enterobacteriaceae. The record is from RNAcentral.
CCCUUGGUAAGGGUGAGGUCGGCAGUUCGAAUCUGCCUAUCAGCACCA